UGGGGAAUAUUGCACAAUGGGCGCAAGCCUGAUGCAGCCAUGCCGCGUGUGUGAAGAAGGCCUUCGGGUUGUAAAGCACUUUCAGCGAGGAGGAAGGUGGUGAGCUUAAUACGCUCAUCAAUUGACGUUACUCGCAGAAGAAGCACCGGCUAACUCCGUGCCAGCAGCCGCGGUAAUACGGAGGGUGCAAGCGUUAAUCGGAAUUACUGGGCGUAAAGCGCACGCAGGCGGUUUGUUAAGUCAGAUGUGAAAUCCCCGGGCUCAACCUGGGAACUGCAUUUGAAACUGGCAAGCUAGAGUCUCGUAGAGGGGGUAGAAUUCCAGGUGUAGCGGUGAAAUGCGUAGAGAUCUGGAGGAAUACCGGUGGCGAAGGCGGCCCCCUGGACGAAGACUGACGCUCAGGUGCGAAAGCGUGGGGCAGCAAACAGGAUUAGAUACCCUGGUAGUCCAGCGCUGUAAACGAUGUCGAUUUUGGAGGUUGUGCCCUUGAGGCGUGGCUUCCGGAGCUAACGCGUUAAAUCGACCGCCUGGGGAGUACGGCCGCAAGGUUAAAACUCAAAGGAAUUGACGGGGUCAUAGCUG
Molecule: ribosomal RNA, 582 nt
Filed under: uncultured bacterium
Lineage: Bacteria
Description: partial 16S ribosomal RNA
Rfam family: Bacterial small subunit ribosomal RNA
Source: RNAcentral